Molecule: small RNA, 510 nt
Filed under: uncultured Entrophospora
Lineage: Eukaryota; Fungi; Glomeromycota; Glomeromycetes; Entrophosporales; Entrophosporaceae
Description: SSU rRNA
Rfam family: Eukaryotic small subunit ribosomal RNA
Source: RNAcentral
AGCAGCCGCGGUAAUUCCAGCUCCAAUAGCGUAUAUUAAAGUUGUUGCAGUUAAAAAGCUCGUAGUUGAAUUUCGGGAUCAAUUGAUUGGUCAUGCCUACGGUAUGUACUAGUCAUAUUGGUUCUCACCUUCUAAUGAACCUUAAUGUCAUUCACUUGAUGUUUUGGGGAAUUAGGACUGUUACCUUGAAAAAAUUAGAGUGUUUAAAGCAGGCUUACGCUUGAAUACAUUAGCAUGGAAUAAUGAAAUAGGACAUCGCAUUCUAUUUUGUUGGUUUCUAGGAUCGAUGUAAUGAUUAAUAGGGAUAGUUGGGGGCAUUAGUAUUCAAUUGUCAGAGGUGAAAUUCUUGGAUUUAUUGAAGACUAACUACUGCGAAAGCAUUUGCCAAGGAUGUUUUCAUUAAUCAAGAACGAAAGUUAGGGGAUCGAAGACGAUCAGAUACCGUCGUAGUCUUAACCAUAAACUAUGCCGACUAGGGAUCGGAUGAUGUUAAUUUUAAAUGACUCAUUC